RNAcentral lists this small RNA (377 nucleotides) under Arabidopsis thaliana (thale cress). Its description in RNAcentral is "ATSL287190". The record is from RNAcentral. Lineage: Eukaryota; Viridiplantae; Streptophyta; Magnoliopsida; Brassicales; Brassicaceae.
AUAUGAAAAAAUAUUAUGUGGUGCCAAUUUUGAGAUCGGAGCAAAAAUGACAAAAGAUAAAGAGAAAAAAAUGAAUUGUUGAGUCGUUGUAUGCAACAAGUUGAUAUAUCAACCUUACCAAAAAAAACAAGUUGAUAUAUCAAAAGGGGAUACUAUUGGGGAUAGAGUAGAAUCUCUUGUGAUAUAUUUUGUGACAGAGUUAUGUCCUAUAAUUUAGGGAUUCGAGUUUAUUUUAUACGAUGACUCUCUUGUAUAAAUAUCACACUUUGUGAAUCAAUAAACUCAAGUUAGUGCAAUACCUAAUUCUACAGAUACUUUUGACAAAUUUUCACAUCAUAACUCUACCAUAGUUUUUUCGUUUUGGCAAACAUUCUACC